AGCGAACGCUGGCGGCAGGCUUAACACAUGCAAGUCGAGCGGGCAUCCUUGUGGUGUCAGCGGCAGACGGGUGAGUAACGCGUGGGAACGUGCCCUUCGGUUCGGAAUAACUCAGGGGAACUUGAGCUAAUACCGGAUACGUGCGAGAGCAGAAAGGUUUAUCUGCCGAAGGAUCGGCCCGCGUCUGAUUAGCUAGUUGGUGAGGUUACGGCUCACCAAGGCGACGAUCAGUAGCUGGUCUGAGAGGAUGAUCAGCCAACCUGGGACUGAGACACGGCCCAGACUCCUACGGGAGGCAGCAGUGGGGAAUAUUGGACAAUGGGCGCAAGCCUGAUCCAGCCAUGCCGGGUGAGUGAUGACGGCCUUAGGGUUGUAAAGCUCUUUUCUCCGGGACGAUAAUGCCGGUACCGGAGGAAUAAGCCCCGGCUAAUUUCGU
RNAcentral lists this ribosomal RNA (436 nucleotides) under uncultured bacterium. Its description in RNAcentral is "partial 16S ribosomal RNA". It matches the Rfam family "Bacterial small subunit ribosomal RNA", at positions 29 to 506 of the family's 1533-position model. The record is from RNAcentral.